GUGGGGAAUAUUGGGCAAUGGGGGAAACCCUGACCCAGCAACGCCGCGUGAAGGAAGAAGGUCUUCGGAUCGUAAACUUCUAUCCUUGGUGAAGAUAAUGACGGUAGCCGAGAAGGAAGCCCCGGCUAACUACGUGCCAGCAGCCGCGGUAAUACGUAGGGGGCAAGCGUUGUCCGGAAUGAUUGGGCGUAAAGGGCGCGUAGGCGGCCUGGUAAGUCUGGAGUGAAAGUCCUGCUUUUAAGGUAGGAAUUGCUUUGGAUACUGUCGGGCUUGAGUGCAGGAGAGGUAAGUGGAAUUCCCGGUGUAGCGAUGAAAUGCGUAGAGAUCGGGAGGAACACCAGUGGCGAAGGCGACUUACUGGACUGUAACUGACGCUGAGGCGCGAAAGUGUGGGGAGCAAACAGGAUUAGAAACCCCUGUAGUCC
RNAcentral lists this ribosomal RNA (425 nucleotides) under uncultured bacterium. Its description in RNAcentral is "partial 16S ribosomal RNA". It matches the Rfam family "Bacterial small subunit ribosomal RNA", at positions 354 to 796 of the family's 1533-position model. The record is from RNAcentral.